Non-coding RNA from Caretta caretta (loggerhead turtle), 5936 nucleotides. NCBI's taxonomy places the organism in Eukaryota, Metazoa, Chordata, Testudines, Cheloniidae. The record is from RefSeq and is a predicted model, not a curated record.
UAUUACUUUGUAUAAAUAAAGGGGGAAAAGUUUGAGGUAGUGGGACUCUUCGGGACUGGACUCUCCCUCUGGAUGCAUCUUGUGUUCCUCACUGGCAGACGGGCUGCCGCUGUGCCACUCUAGAGCCACGCUCAGCUUCGAUGCUGAUAAUCAGUCUGAAGAAGAAGCAUCAGUGUUUAAAACAUUCUCCUCACACAAGUGGAAUGCCAAGUCUCAGAGGCAACACAAAGAUAUUGGGUUUUUUUUCUUCCCAAACAAUUCACAAUGUCUAAAUGCUGCCAGGCUGUGAACAAAGUACAUGGGUUCUAUAGGCAAAUUUCUCCUUUCACAUCUUCCAUGGCAGUACUUGAAUACCCAAAUUUUCAAAGUGCAUAUGCCCAGCACUAAAUGUGUGUACAAAAGUCAGGGUUGUGCAAAGGUAUGUGUGCAUACAAAUACCUGACUUGCAUGUUCUAAGCUGAUGCUGGAUGCAUGCAAGACAGCCAUAAGCAAGUGCACCCCCACUUUAUCAAUUUCAGGCUAUAUUCUCAAAACUGUUCUUCCUACUUAUAUUGUCCAUUGGCACCAGUGCAAAUGCUGUACAGGCAGGGAAAUAGAAUAUCUAAGUUGAUCACAGCCCUGCAAGUAUGACAGGAGAAUUUUGCUGUAUAAUAUUUUGAUUUAGUGAGACAACUAUAUUCAGGUUGUGUGUGUGUUUAAAAUAAAAGUUUGCAUGAAAAAAGUAAUUCUUAAUUUGAAUGUGGUCAGUUUCCAAAAUGCCAUAUUCAGGUUUUUUUUUUCUUUGUUAAAAUCCUCCAAAAAGCAUGAGCAAAUUCCAAAUAGUGAGUUCCCAGCACCGAUGGAGAAAAGCAGAUUUGGUAUUGACAUGAAAUUAAUUAUUGAUGGGUGUUCAUUUGCGGUAUUUGUAGAUAGCAGUUCUGGAGUAUUUCUUUGCUAGCUAAAUGGCAGAAUUUUAGUGCAAUGUCACUACUCUGAAUACUGAACAAUGAAUGUCAUUGUUUUUUGGCAAAUGAUUUGACAGGACUAAUCUGAUUACAAAAGAAAAUACAUUACACAUACAAUGUGUAAAUUGAAUGACUGCUUAUAGAUCUCUUAACUUCAGUAUUGUGCUUCUUAUCUGUAGUUUAUCAAAUUUGGUGUGGUUUUUUCCCCUGGGUUAAUGUAAUAAAACUUCUUAAAACCAAACAAUUCUCAAGAAUGGUACCACUGAGAUUUGCCAUCAUGGCCUGUGGUUGUUUUUAGUUUUAAAAAUAUCUUUUCUUUUUAAAAUUGCCUGUAAAUAAAUUGUUCCCAUACAUAUACCUUCAGGACUAAAUACAUACUCAAGGAUACUUCACAUUCUUCAAGUAUUGCAAAUUUACUACUAACAUAGAUUAAUGGACAUCAUAAAAUUAUGACUAAGUACUGUAGUUUAAAAAGCCACGAUAGCUUCAACUGUUAUAGGACCCAUUUCAGGAAAGCAUUUAAGCAUUGCAUUACAGUCAAUGGGACUUAAACAUGUGCUUAAGUGUCUUGCUGAGUAGAGAGGUGCUUACAUACAGGUCUUAGAAGCCUGAUCCAGAGCCUACCGAAAUCAAUGGGAGUCUUUCCAUUUACCUCACUGAGCUUUGGAUCAUAUGUCUUAAAGCGCUUUUGUGACACCAAUGGACCCCAGUCAAACGGAUUGAACUUAGGACCUCUGAAGUUUAGUGUAUGUGCCUCUAAUGCAUGUGCUAAAAGCCACGUGGCUCUUAGCGAAGGCUGUAGCAGCCACAUCAGUCUCUAGAUGCCACAAAAGAGGGACAGAGCACCAAGCAGGCAAGGGUUACACUUUGCUGAAUUGAGUUGAUAAGGAAGUCUUUCUGAAUUGACUCAAUCCUUGCUGAAGUUAUGGACACUAUCAUAAUACUGCUAAUAAUAAUAAUAAAGAGUAAAUACCUAAGGGCAGUCAGAGGAAUAUUCUUAACAGAUCUUCACUUGGAGAGCUCAAAUUGUGAUAUAGUGCAUCACUCUAUGAUUCGCCAUUAUACAAAGAUGUAACCAUGUGGGGGCGUCUGUUGCCAUUCACCAAUCGGUCUGCUAUAAGAAAUUACAAAAUUGCAUUUCACUACAGGCAUUGAAGUGACAGCAGGCUGUCUCUUAACCCAGUUAGCAAAUUGUAUUCUAUUCUGAUUUCAGCGCAAAGUGAAAUCAUAAUACACACUGAAACACUGUUCAUCAGGGGUUCUCAAACUGUGGCCCACAGACUAGUUAUGAUCUUGGAAAUAUUUGCUGGUGAUUGAUGGAGAGCUGACUGAUCACAUAGUGUUUUCCUUCUUUCUAUCUGCUAAAUUACAUUAAAAGACUCUUUACAAUACUUUAAGGAUAAAAUUUUCAAAAGUGACAGGCAGUUGGGGACAGUUUAUUACAGAUAUUUAGGCUUCUAAAGAUACAGAUAGACACCUAAUCCUAUUCUUAAAAGAGUGUAGACACCUAACUCCCCUCGACAUCCAUGUUAGGUACCUGAGUGAUAUAAAAAUCCUAGGCACCUAACAACCUUUAAAAAUCUGGCCCUUAGGAACAUAAGCCCCAUUGACAUGAAAAAUAGCGUAGCCUAAGUUGUAUUUACAAAAACAACUUGGGGUAAUGUUUUCAAAAGCACCCAAGCCUCAUCAAUAAGACUGAAGUAGGGAGAAGCAGAUCUGUGAGAUUGUCUUAUAGAUGCCUCCCUUCCAAUUGACACUCUCCAUUAAAGAGGUGGCCCAUGCUAUGAAAGUUGGAGAACCCCUCCUGUAUAUAAAAUACAUGAUCACAGGAUAAAUUAAAAAUCCAUGCAGCCCCCAUUAACUUGUCAGUUAUUUCCAUGAGUUACACAGUAAAUGACUGCAUGGCACACGAGGAGUAAAUUGAAAUAAAGCCCCAAAUGGUUUGUGUAAAUGAAGCUGAAAUUGGUUCAGGGUUCACUGAGCCCUUCAAGCUAAAUCUUGAAACCCUUCAGUCUAGUUUCAAUCAUAUGGGGCUUUGACAGAGUGAGUUUUGGUUCUGAAGACUCUUCUAAGGUUUCUGUUUUCAGAGCUAGCCCUAAUUUCUACACCUCAAAUCUAUUUAGAUUUAAAUUGGGGUAAGGGUAGAUGCACAGAUACUUUUAAAAAUUUCCCAUGCAACAGGAAGCACAUUUACCUGAGCAUUUUAAUGAUGAUGCACCUCCACACUGUAGUUCAAACUUGCAUUACCAGUUGCCAACCAGUUUGCCAGUUUAACGGCUGCAAAUGUCCUUUGAGCAUCCACCAUCAUCCCAACAAAGGAACUGUGUUUGCUACAGGUUAACUCCUGCUCUCCUCAGUGCUCUGUGUUGUAUGUAAAUGCAAGUUAAAAUUAAUGUAAGCUACAAGUUAAUGUAAGCUACAAAGAAAGCGACAUUCCACAACAUACAUUAAUACUCUGAUUCAAAGCAGAGCAAUCAAGCACUUGCUGAUUUUUAAGAACCUAUUUGAAUUCCAAUGACUUCAAUGGGACCUAACUGUGUGCUUAAGUGCUUUGCUGAAUCAGGGCCUAAAGAAGCAAACUGAUGAUUCAAGUUAGCAAUACAUUCCAAUCAUAAAAAUUAUUAUUAUAGGCAAAAAUUGAUCAUGCAGUAUAUCAUCCAGUGUCUUCAAAACCCAAAUUUAACCCACAGUGCACCAUUGUCAACAGUUGGAUGGUCUCACUAGUUUAAUUCACUCAGUAGAAUCUUUAUGAAACUUUGUAUGAAAUGUGUGAUUAUGAGAGAGAUGUCAGGUUAUAACAAAAGAGAGUAUUUAACUCCAGUGAACAGAAUACAGGAAACAACUUACCCAUCCAUAUUUCAAGCUUCUUGAAGCAGAAGAGAAAACAAUCCUAUCAGUUAAUAAAGAACAAAUCCAAAAGUAGGAACAAUCCUGUAAACAAACAGCACAUUACUGUACCUAAACCAAGAACUCUGCCAUUGCAGGGCCAUGGGGAGGGGGUGUAUUGAGAAGAAAAUAAGAAGAGACUGAAUAGACUCAGUCUUUGCUUAUGACUUACCAUUAAGUGGAGGGAAUCAAUCCAGCGCACAUUUGGCCAGUCAGGGUCCCUCUAAGAUCCCCGAGAGCAAUCAGCCUGACAUCAGGCCAUAAUUGGCAUUUUGGGCAUUAGCCUAUCAUGCCAUCAGGAGUCCUUCCCAGGUAUAGUCCUAGCAGGACUGUCCCUGUUGAUUACAAUGGGACCUCAGAGGCUGGUCCAAAGUAAUUUAUGGCUCACACAAUUGUAUUAAUGGCAUGGAUAUUAAAAGUAUCAACUUCUAGACAAGAAAAUAUUUAACUGGCUUGAAAUUAGGAGGUACCUAUUUUUCAAUCAGUACAGUUACUUAAUGGAAAUCUGAAAUCAUUCCAAGAGAAAGACAAUGGAAAUGUAAUAAAUAACUAUGUAUUUUUUAAAAGGAGAAAAAUUAAAUGAUCUAUAGAAGGCAUGGAGUAGUACACAGAUUUUCUGUGAGAUACUGGAUUUUGAUCAAUUUUUAACACUGUAUUCCUUUGAAGGAAAACACAAUAAGAAAAUAUUUCGCUUAUAGAUGAUUUUCAUUGCAGCCACCAAAUGUUAAUCCUACUGAAAAGUAAAUCAUUAUAAUUCUAUUACGCUUUUCAUGAUACAUUCCAGGUACAGUUUGCAAGCCAGUAGGGAAUGCAAAGUAAUAAAUCUCAUACCUAGAAUGGAGUAGUUUCCAAUGAAGCUUUAAAAAACAAAGACAAAACAAAAAGCAGAUAAUCUCUUCAAAUUCUCCCAUGCUGCCAAGUAAAACACCAGAAAAUGUUUGCAUUGUCCUGUUGAAACUCUCUCCAAAAUAUUCAGCAUGACAAAAAUUAAUAAUGGUUUCUGUUUUAUUCUUAUGGGGCUCACAUGCUGCCCCAUUGAAAUCAAAUGUGAAACUCAGACGGAAUUCAGUGAGGGUAGGAUUGGGCCCUUGUCAAGGCUUGGUCAAGCAAUGUUAACAUAAAGAAGGUCUAAAUUCACUGUUGAUAUUAUUCACAAUGAAUAGGCCCACCAGAUCAAGCUCUCUCAUACUGAAUUCUUGUAGCAUCUUAUAUGCUUAGUGUGUGUUAAAAGAUAUGCCAGUGCUGCAGCUGUAAUUAAGGUUUGUUGAGUUACUAUUUCCAUUAUGAAGCCCACUUUUCAGGGUUUAAUAAGUCUGCAGCUCCAAAUCAGAUCAGGUUGAAACUUGACAUCCAAGUUAUCAAUACGGAGAUACAAUUUGUGCUCAUCUGUUUAUCAAAAAUAUAGUUUAUAUCCACUCAGCUGUUGCUGAAUUACAGAGGUCUAAAAAACAUGGGUGUAUUUUUUUUUCAGAUGGUCUUUCAGCAGUUUAGAACUUAAACAUACACUCAGGACGUAAUUCAACUCUAAUUUAGGUAAGUCUGGGCAACUCUCAGUGAAGUUAACAGGAGAGCCUCCUGUGUUUUGCUUGGACUAAUUUAGCCCUACGUGCUCCUUAUUUAUUGGCAGGAAUUCCUUUACAUGGAAUGCAUCCUUUGUGGUACUUUGCCAUUUUAAGCAAUUUUUGCAUGUUUGCUUCAAACACUCACCUGCUAAUUCUUAGAGUAAGUAGAAUCCAGCAGAAUGAGUCAUAGCAUAGGCAGAGGUUAAGAGUUUGAUCCUUCUAGCAUUGUAGUCAAUGCCCUUUAAUUCUGUGAUAUCCUUUUUGAGAUGGGAAUGACCAGAGCCAUAUAGGGUGUAACAUUGCUCUAUAUAAUAACCUUAUGAUAUUUUUAUGUUAAACUCAAAGUUAAGGGAGACAGAAUUAUAUUAUAGUCCAAGAAAAGGAGAUGACUGACUAGUACUGGAACUGACAGUUCUGCAGCUGAGUGGAAGUGCUGUAUAUUCAUGCACAAAUAAUGUAUAUUGUAUGUGUAAUUUAUACAUAAGUUCUUGCAUAUCUUUCUCCUCUAUGAACACUGAGUAUUCCAAUAAAGAUUUCAGAGGGC